UUCGGUACGAAGGUGGGUGGUCGACUGGUUGUCGUCAGCUCCGUGUCGUGAGAUGUUGGGUUAAGUCCCGCAACGAGCGCAACCCUAUUGUUAGUUGCCAUCAUUCAGUUGGGCACUCUAGCGAGACUGCCGGUAAUAAACCGGAGGAAGGUGGGGAUGACGUCAAAUCAUCAUGCCCCUUAUGACCUGGGCUACACACGUGCUACAAUGGUUGGUACAACGAGUUGCGAGUCGGUGACGGCGAGCUAAUCUCUUAAAGCCAAUCUCAGUUCGGAUUGUAGGCUGCAACUCGCCUACAUGAAGUCGGAAUCGCUAGUAAUCGCGGAUCAGCACGCCGCGGUGAAUACGUUCCCGGGCCUU
This 360-nucleotide ribosomal RNA is filed under the name uncultured Streptococcus sp. RNAcentral describes it as "bacterial SSU rRNA". It matches the Rfam family "Bacterial small subunit ribosomal RNA", at positions 1022 to 1382 of the family's 1533-position model. The record is from RNAcentral. Lineage: Bacteria; Bacillati; Bacillota; Bacilli; Lactobacillales; Streptococcaceae.